This 951-nucleotide long non-coding RNA is filed under the name Monodon monoceros (narwhal). Its description in RNAcentral is "lncRNA (ENSMMNG00015006052.1)". The record is from RNAcentral. Lineage: Eukaryota; Metazoa; Chordata; Mammalia; Artiodactyla; Monodontidae.
CAGGGCGCGGGGCGAGGCUGCCGGCGGCGAUCAGAGCGCGCUGGUGUCGGGGGGCCAGGUCCAGGGCCGGACGCAGCCAGCCAUUCAGGAAGGCAGCGCUGGAGAGCGGGAGGCAGCCAGCGAGGAGGAUCACACACUUUGCUCUUUUUGUUGUGCCGGUGGCGCCGGGCUCUCGCUGCCUUUUUCUUUCGGGAGGUGACGGAGGGGGAGAAAAACACGAGAUAAUUCACGCCGGCGACGAAUUCACAGCGAAACAGAAAAUAUAAAAAUCAGAAGAAAAAGAAUUGCAAAAAAAAAAAAAAAAAGAAAGAAAAAAAAAAACGAGAGAGACAUCCAAAUACAAAGGCAGGCAGCCGAGGGCAGAGGAAGCAGGCACAGAGGGAUACAGGCAGAAGGAAAGAGAACGUGGAGAGAGACGGAGCGAGUGCAAGAGGAAGCGAGAGCGAGCGCCAGGGAACCAGAGGCCCCCUGGACGCCCGGCCUUCGGGCCCAGCCGCCCUCGGACCCUGGACCGGGAGUCGUGGGCACCAGAAGCGAGACUCGGCCAAGUCCUGCCCCACCAGACAGGGAUUGAGAAACGGAAAUACCACCACCCUCGGGCCAAACUUGUGAGGACUGAUUGCAGGGGAACUGGUGCUCCAGAUGUUGCACUAGAGGCGCUGCAAGUGUGAGCAGGUGGCAGUAGACCUGCAUCGCAGGUUGUAGCAGAUGUUCUCAACAUUUCUCUUGAAAUUUCCUUAUCUCCGUUUGCAAGAGGAGCCCCAGAGCCUCAUCCCUGUGGUAGCUGCCAUGUUCUGGUAUGAUGCUGUGCUCUUCCUCUUCAUCCUUCCUGUUCUAACAAAGGAUCUGGGGUAGAAUUUAGCUGUUUGUUAUUGUAAGCAACUAUGUAGAAAAGGAAGUGGAAUGUUUCAAUAAUACUGAUAUUGUGAUUUCUUUGAGAUUGUGUACUAU